AAUGAACGCUGGCGGCAUGCCUAACACAUGCAAGUCGAACGAGACCUUCGGGUCCAGUGGCGCACGGGUGCGUAACGCGUGGGAACCUGCCCUUAGGUUCGGCAUAACUCCCCGAAAGGGGUGCUAAUACCGGAUAAUGUCUUCGGACCAAAGAUUUAUCGCCUUUGGAUGGGCCCGCGUUGGAUUAGCUUGUUGGUAGGGUAAAAGCCUACCAAAGCGACGAUCCAUAGCUGGUCUGUGAGGAGCGUCAGCCACACUGGGACUGGGACACGGCCCAGACUCCUACGCGAUGCAGCAGUGGGGGAUAUUGGACAGUGGGCGAAAGCCUGAACCAGCAAUGCCGCGUGAGUGAUGAAGGCCUUAGGGUUGUAAAGCUCUUUUACCCGGGAUGAUAAUGACAGUACCGGGAGAAUAAGCUCCGGCUAACUCCGUG
Molecule: ribosomal RNA, 433 nt
Filed under: uncultured bacterium
Lineage: Bacteria
Description: partial 16S ribosomal RNA
Rfam family: Bacterial small subunit ribosomal RNA
Source: RNAcentral